Molecule: ribosomal RNA, 1402 nt
Filed under: metagenome
Description: SSU rRNA
Rfam family: Eukaryotic small subunit ribosomal RNA
Source: RNAcentral
UUACGAAUGACGGAAAUUGGGUGAUUGACUCCGGAGAAGGAGCCUGAGAGAUGGCUACUACAUCUAAGGAAGGCAGCAGGCGCGCAAAUUUCCCAAUGCUCAAAGAGCGAGGAAGUGACACCGAUUAUUAAUGUCUUUGUUUUAAACUUGGACAAUUGGAAUGAGAACGAUUUAAAACUCCUAUCGAGGAUCAAUUAGAGGGCAAGUCUGGUGCCAGCAGCCGCGGUAAUUCCAGCUCUAAGAGGGUAUAUCAAAAUUGUUGCAGUUGAAACGCUCGUAGUCGAAUUUCGUUUUCGUUUAUUUGGAUGUUGUCAUUGGAGAAAUCCUUGGCAUGCCAAUGUGGGAAUUUUUGGGUAAUUUUUCAUUAAAUUGCCCUCCGUUACUGAGAGCAAAUUGGAUUGUUUAAAGAAGGCCUUAUAGCUAUGAACAUUUUAGCUUGGAAUGACAACUAAUAACUCGGGUUAUUUUGUUGGUUAAAUAACAAAGAGUGAUGAUUAACAGAAACAGUUGCGGGGGUACUUGUAUUUGUCGGUCAGAGGUGAAAUUCUUGGAUUCGACAACGACAAACGACUGCGAAAGCAUUUACCAAGGAUGUUUUCAUUGAUCAAGAACGAAAGAAUGAGGAUCGAAGAUGAUUAGAUACCAUCGUAGUUCAUUCCAUAAUCGAUGCCGACUCGGGGUUUGCUUUUUAUUCUUUUAUCGAAUGAAGCAGGUACCGUAUGAGAAAUCACAAGUCUUUGGGUUCCGGGGGGAGUACGAUCGCAAGAUUGAAACUUUAAGGAAUUGACGGAAGUUCACACCAGAGGUGGAGCCUGCGGUUUAAUUUGACCCAACACGGGAAAACUUACCAGGUCCAGAUAUGAGGAGGAUUGACAGUUUGAAAGCACUUUCUUGAUUUCAUAGGUGGUGGUGCAUGGCCGUUCUUAGUUGGUGGAGUGAUUUGUCUGGUUGAUUCCGAUAACGAACGAGACGAGCGUACUUUGCUGGUUGCCUUUGUUUCUCACGAAACUUACAACCUCCCAAGUAGACAACUCAUUUCUAAUGAGAGGAAGCCGCCCGCAAUAACAGGUCUGUGAUGCCCUUAGAUGUUCUGGGCCACACGCGCGCUACACUGAUUGGUUCAACGAGUUGUUUUUUCCUUGCCCGGAAGGGUGUGGGUAAUCUUUUCAAUACCAAUCGUGAUGGGGCUUGAACAUUGUAAUUAUUGUUCAUCAACGAGGAAUCUCUAGUAAGUAGAAGUCAUUAGCUUCUGCUGAAUGCGUCCCUGGACUUUGUACACACCGCCCGUCGCACCUACCGAUGAAUCUUAUCUUUAGGCGUUUGGAGGCUGUUUUACUUCGGUUUGACGGUUGAAAUUCUCCGAAAGUUGAAAUUUAGAGGAAGGUGAAGUCGUAACAAGGUU